AUAGGAUAGGAUCGUGGUCGAUUAUGGUAGUUGGUGAGGUAAUGGAUCACCAAGCCGAUAAUCGAUAAGGCCCGUGAGAGCGGGAGCCCCGAGAUGGGUACUGAGACACCGACCCAGACCUUACGAGGUGCAGCAGGCGCGAGACCUCCGCAAUACACGAAAGUGUGACGGGGUUACCCAAAGUGUUCAUUUUUGAACUGUGGUAGGUGAGUAAUGUCCCCUACUAGAAAGGAGAGGGCAAGGCUGGUGCCAGCCGCCGCGGUAAAACCAGCUCUUCAAGUGGUCGGGAUGAUUAUUGGGCUUAAAGUGUCCGUAGCCGGUUUAGUAAGUUCCUGGUAAAAUUAGGUAGCUUAACUAUCUGUAUGCUAGGAAUACUACUAUACUAGAGGGCGGGAGAGGUCUGAGGUACUACAGGGGUAGGGGUGAAAUCUUAUAAUCCUUGUAGGACCACCAGUGGCGAAGGCGUCAGACUGGAACGUGCCUGACGGUGAGGGACGAAAGCCAGGGGAGCGAACCGAAUUAGAUACCCGGGUAGUCCUGGCCGUAAACGAUGCAUACUAGGUGAUGGCCCGGCCAUGAGCCGUGUCAGUGCCGUAGGGAAACCGUUAAGUGUGCCGCCUGGGAAGUACGGU
Molecule: ribosomal RNA, 632 nt
Filed under: uncultured archaeon
Lineage: Archaea
Description: bacterial SSU rRNA
Rfam family: Archaeal small subunit ribosomal RNA
Source: RNAcentral